UCGGGAAUUUUGGGCAAUGGGCGAAAGCCUGACCCAGCAAUGCCGCGUGAGGGAUGAAGUAUUUCGGUAUGUAAACCUCGAAAGAAUGGGAAGAAUAAAUGACGGUACCAUUUAUAAGCUCCGGCUAACUACGUGCCAGCAGCCGCGGUAAUACGUAGGGAGCAAGCGUUGUUCGGAUUUACUGGGCGUAAAGGGCGCGUAGGCGGCGCGGUAAGUCACUUGUGAAAUCUCUGAGCUUAACUCAGAACGGCCAAGUGAUACUGCUGUGCUAGAGUGCGGAAGAGGCAACCGGAAUUCUUGGUGUAGCGGUGAAAUGCGUAGAUAUCAAGAGGAACACCUGAGGCGAAGGCGGGUUGCUGGGCCGACACUGACGCUGAUGCGCGAAAGCCAGGGGAGCAAACG
Molecule: ribosomal RNA, 402 nt
Filed under: uncultured bacterium
Lineage: Bacteria
Description: bacterial SSU rRNA
Rfam family: Bacterial small subunit ribosomal RNA
Source: RNAcentral